UACAGACUCCUACGGGAGGCAGCAGUGGGGAAUAUUGCACAAUGGGCGCAAGCCUGAUGCAGCCAUGCCGCGUGUAUGAAGAAGGCCUUCGGGUUGUAAAGUACUUUCAGCGGGGAGGAAGGCGAUAAGGUUAAUAACCUUGUCGAUUGACGUUACCCGCAGAAGAAGCACCGGCUAACUCCGUGCCAGCAGCCGCGGUAAUACGGAGGGUGCAAGCGUUCAUCGGAAUUACUGGGCGUAAAGCGCACGCAGGCGGUCUGUCAAGUCGGAUGUGAAAUCCCCGGUCUCAACCUGGGAACUGCAUUCGAAGCUGGCAGUGUGGAGUCUUGUAGAGGGGGGUAGAAUUCCAGGUGUAGCGGUGAAAUGCGUAGAGAUCUGGAGGAAUACCGGUGGCGAAGGCGGCCCCCUGGACAAAGACUGACGCUCAGGUGCGAAAGCGUUGGGAGCAACCAGGAUUAGAUACCCCAGUACA
Molecule: ribosomal RNA, 472 nt
Filed under: uncultured bacterium
Lineage: Bacteria
Description: bacterial SSU rRNA
Rfam family: Bacterial small subunit ribosomal RNA
Source: RNAcentral